Molecule: transfer RNA, 65 nt
Filed under: Neoperlops gressitti
Lineage: Eukaryota; Metazoa; Arthropoda; Insecta; Plecoptera; Perlidae
Description: tRNA-Thr
Rfam family: tRNA
About the family: Transfer RNA (tRNA) molecules are approximately 80 nucleotides in length.
Source: RNAcentral
GUUUUAAUAGUUUAAUCAAAACCUUGGUCUUGUAAACCAAAAUUAAGGUGACACCUUUUAAAACU